UCUAGAACUCGAGAUAUGGGCUGAACACUGAACAAUGUUUGGGUUGUAGGACAAAUUCCGACUUCUCUAUUGUUGCUACAAUUUGAACUUGCAUACAGUCCUUUUGAAUCUUGGACUCUUCAUGAAAGUUUUAGACCUAUGUCUUAGCUUUCCAUA
Molecule: non-coding RNA, 156 nt
Organism: Populus trichocarpa (black cottonwood)
Lineage: Eukaryota; Viridiplantae; Streptophyta; Magnoliopsida; Malpighiales; Salicaceae
Source: Rfam